RNAcentral lists this ribosomal RNA (454 nucleotides) under uncultured bacterium. RNAcentral describes it as "partial 16S ribosomal RNA". It matches the Rfam family "Bacterial small subunit ribosomal RNA", at positions 28 to 507 of the family's 1533-position model. The record is from RNAcentral.
GAUGAACGCUGACAGAAUGCUUAACACAUGCAAGUCAACUUGAACUUCGGUUUGGGUGGCGGACGGGUGAGUAACGCGUAAAGAACUUGCCUCACAGAUAGGGACAACAUUUGGAAACGAAUGCUAAUACCUGAUAUUAUGAUUAUAUGGCAUCGUAUAAUUAUGAAAGCUAUAUGCGCUGUGAGAGAGCUUUGCGUCCCAUUAGCUAGUUGGAGGGGUAACGGCUCACCAGGGCGAUGAUGGGUAGCCGGCCUGAGGGGGUGAUCGGCCACAAGGGGACUGAGACACGGCACUUACCUCCGCGGGGGGGAGGAGGGGGGUAUUGUGGAAAAGGGACCAAGAGGAUGAAGCAGCAAUUCGGGGGGGACGAUGGAGUUUUGCGGGAAGUAAAGUGCUUUCAGGGGGGAAGAAAAAAAUGACGGUACCAACAGAAGAAGUGACGGCUAAAUACGUG